RNAcentral lists this long non-coding RNA (709 nucleotides) under Marmota monax (woodchuck). Lineage: Eukaryota; Metazoa; Chordata; Mammalia; Rodentia; Sciuridae. The record is from RNAcentral.
GCCAGGAGUCUUUCCAGCAAAAAAUUGGACGGGGACACGUCAGGAUCCACAAGCAUUCCGACUUCUCACCAGGGAGGCAGGCCUGGCCAACCACGAGGGCCUCGUCCACACCUUCCCUACCUCCACUCUCUCCUCCAACAGAGAGGAUGGCCUUGGGAAGAACGUCUCCCAUUUGCACGACGCUGAACGGUUUGCAAAGUGCCGCACACUAUACACAGGGCUUCACAUCCACUGUCACAUUUAAUGGAGGUGGUGGGGGCGGUAUCCUCUGCCCGCCGCCCCCACCAUCCACAAUUCUUGGCUUAGGAAGGUCUGAUGAAUCCAGCUUGAGUUCAGCCUCCAAAGAAGGGGGAGGGAUGGGGACAGGCCAUCUGUAGACCCCAGAGAGAGCUGCUGAGCCAGGAAGUCACCAGGGUCAAAGCUAUUCAGGAUGGACAUGGCCAGGUGUCAGCUCUGAGCAGGGAGCUCAGGCUGAAGGGAAUGUAGCAAAGAGCUAGCCAGGAACGUGUCGCCCUCCCCACCCACCUUGAUCCCAAAGCUGAUGAGAUGCCUGGGUAGCCAUGAAAAUGAUCGUGUCUAUCAGAGCAGCAGGAGCCCAAGAAAGGAGGAGCUCAGAUGGAGGGCCUCUCCGCCAGGAGUGCGGAGCGGAGGCAAGACCGGGACGUGUGAUGAUUAAGUGCAGGCCUUGACCACUAGUUACUCCUAUGAA